CUCUCGCACAUCACGGUAUCACAACACUUCCGCGGAACCAUAAAACUUAUAUUCUCUGCAUUCAGUGAUUGAGAACGUGAUACUCGUCAAUUAUUUCCCAAAAGUGUAUUAUGUUUUUAUUACAUUGCGAAGAGGACGAUUCGUUGCUCAUAUGUAACGAAUCGGAUGUGAUUUGUGAAAAUAACGUUGGAAAAGGAGACAGUGCAGUUUGUAUAUAAUAAAAAGAUAUAUCUUGGUACAGUAAUUGAGCACUCUGAAAAUGAGAAGAAAUUGGAAACACAUCUUACAAAACUGCGUUCUAAAAAACAAAAGCAGACAGAACAUUCAUCUCAGUCUAUUGUAGAAGGAAGACGACAUUCAGUUCAAAAUAAAAAAUACAAAGAUUAUAUCUUGCCAUCCGAUAAGAGGAAGAAAAAA
Monomorium pharaonis (pharaoh ant) is the source of this 417-nucleotide long non-coding RNA. RefSeq lists it as uncharacterized. The record is from RefSeq and is a predicted model, not a curated record. Lineage: Eukaryota; Metazoa; Arthropoda; Insecta; Hymenoptera; Formicidae. The transcript has 2 exons.